AAAAAUAGGUCUCAGUUCGGACUGUAGGCUGCAACUCGCCUACACGAAGUUGGAAUUGCUAGUAAUCGUGGAUCAGCAUGCCACGGUGAAUACGUUCCCGGGUCUUGUACACACCGCCCGUCACACCAUGGGAGUCGGUAACACCCGAAGUCAGUAGUCUAACCGCAAGGAGGACGCUGCCGAAGGUGGGAUUGACGACUGGGGUGAAGUCGUAACAAGGUACC
RNAcentral lists this ribosomal RNA (224 nucleotides) under uncultured bacterium. Its description in RNAcentral is "partial 16S ribosomal RNA". It matches the Rfam family "Bacterial small subunit ribosomal RNA", at positions 1277 to 1500 of the family's 1533-position model. The record is from RNAcentral.